UGUGCAGGUCCCUCACAGUUCUCUCCAUGU
Molecule: non-coding RNA, 30 nt
Filed under: Rattus norvegicus (Norway rat)
Lineage: Eukaryota; Metazoa; Chordata; Mammalia; Rodentia; Muridae
Source: RNAcentral